Molecule: ribosomal RNA, 462 nt
Filed under: uncultured Herpetosiphon sp.
Lineage: Bacteria; Bacillati; Chloroflexota; Chloroflexia; Herpetosiphonales; Herpetosiphonaceae
Description: partial 16S ribosomal RNA
Source: RNAcentral
CACGUAGUUAGCCGGGCCUGAUUCGGAGGGUACCGUCAGUAUCGUCCCCCCCAAAAGGAGUUUACAACCCAAGAGCCGUCAUCCUCCACGCGGCGUUGCUCGGUCAGGCUUGCGCCCAUUGCCGAAAAUUCCUUGCUGCUGCCCCCCGUAGGAGUUUGGGCCGUGUCUCAGUCCCAAUCUGUCUGGUCGUCCUCUCAGACCAGAGACCCAUCACGGGCUUGGUGCGCCAUUACCACACCAACAACCUAAUGGGACGCGACCCCCGCCCAGUGCGCAUUACUGCUUUCCUUCACCGAAGUGAAUCGUAUGCGGGAUUAGCGAGUCUUUCGACCCGUUAUCCCCCACACCGGGGUAGGUUAGUCACGUGUUCCUCAGCCGUGCGCCACUCAUUCCGAAGAAUGCGUUCGACUUGCAUGCAUUAGGCACGCCGCCAGCGUUCGUCCUGAGCCAGGAUCAAACUCU